AGUAUAAUUUAAAGUAGGGCCUGCCCACUGAUUUUAUUAAAGGGCCGCAGUAUUUUGACUGUGCAAAGGUAGCAUAAUCAUUAGUUUUUUAAUUGAAAGCUUGUAUGAAUGGUUUGAUGAAAAAAUGACUUUCUUUAGUUAAUAAAAAAAAAUUUAUUUUUAAGUUAAAAAGCUUAAAUGUUUAUAAUAGACGAGAAGACCCUAUAGAGUUUAAUUAUUUUAAUUUUAAAAAUUUUUAGAAUUUAUAAUUUUUAUUUAUAUAAUAAUUUGAUUGGGGUGAUUAAAAAAUUAAUUUAACUUUUUUUUUAUUUAACCAUUUAUUUAUGUGUAUUGAUC
Molecule: ribosomal RNA, 336 nt
Filed under: Anisosticta bitriangularis
Lineage: Eukaryota; Metazoa; Arthropoda; Insecta; Coleoptera; Coccinellidae
Description: partial large subunit ribosomal RNA
Source: RNAcentral